AACGCACAUUGCACCCAGUGGGAGCUCCCCACAGGUAUGCAUGGCUGAGUAUCAGUACGGACCCAAAGCCUCUGAAAGGGUUGAAGCGCGCGGUUUCACGACCGUGUGCCUCGCCUCCGAUCUAGGCUCUGGUGCUCGACUCUGCCGCCACCGGCGACAGAGGCGGAUAUGGUUGUCCGAGGCGCGCGCACUUGUGCAAGCGACUCGGUCGACUGAAAUGUAUUGGACUUGCCGCCAACUUGGCUGCAGCCUGCGCACUAAGCAUUGUUAAUCAUCUUCGGAUGUCUUUGCUCUGAGGUGCAGGCCGCGUUUACGCCGGUUGCUUGCGGCUGUCCGAUUCAGCGUACAGCGUGGGCGCGCCCGAGGCGAACUGCCACUGGACUUGUCCUUUGGCGGCCGCGUCGGCGUGCGUGCACAACCCCAACCCACUUGAUCUCAGCUCACGCAAGAUGACCCGCUGAACUUAA
Molecule: unclassified non-coding RNA, 467 nt
Filed under: uncultured fungus
Lineage: Eukaryota; Fungi
Description: partial contains 5.8S ribosomal RNA, internal transcribed spacer 2, and large subunit ribosomal RNA
Source: RNAcentral